AGCAGCCGCGGUAAUUCCAGCUCCAAUAGCGUAUAUUAAAGUUGUUGCAGUUAAAAAGCUCGUAGUUGAAUUUCGGGGUUAGUAGGUUGGUCAUGCCUCUGGUAUGUACUGGUCUCACUGAUUCCUCCUUCCUUAUGAACCGUAAUGCCAUUAAUUUGGUGUUGCGGGGAAUUUGGACUGUUACUUUGAAAAAAUUAGAGUGUUUAAAGCAAGCUAACGCUUGAAUACAUUAGCAUGGAAUAAUGAAAUAGGACAUUCGAUCCUAUUUUGUUGGUUUCUAGGAUUGACGUAAUGAUUAAUAGGGAUAGUUGGGGGCAUUAGUAUUCAAUUGUCAGAGGUGAAAUUCUUGGAUUUAUUGAAGACUAACUACUGCGAAAGCAUUUGCCAAGGAUGUUUUCAUUAAUCAAGAACGAAAGUUAGGGGAUCGAAGACGAUCAGAUACCGUCGUAGUCUUAACCAUAAACUAUGCCGACUAGGGAUCGGAUGAUGUUAAUUUUUUUAAUGACUCAUUCGGCGCCUU
RNAcentral lists this ribosomal RNA (520 nucleotides) under uncultured Glomus. Its description in RNAcentral is "SSU rRNA". It matches the Rfam family "Eukaryotic small subunit ribosomal RNA", at positions 569 to 1089 of the family's 1831-position model. Lineage: Eukaryota; Fungi; Glomeromycota; Glomeromycetes; Glomerales; Glomeraceae. The record is from RNAcentral.